UAAUAGGAAAUUAAGAGCAUAUGGUGGAUGCCUAGGAUUCAAAAAGCGAUGAAAGACGUGGUGUGGCUGCGAUAAGUUUCGGGGAGGUGCCUAACAACCUUUGAUCCGGAAAUUUCUGAAUGAGGAAACUCUAUCUCGGUUAUUCGAGAUAAUCUAUGCGCUUGACGUGUAGAUGCAUACCCAGGGAAGUGAAACAUCUCAGUACCUGGAGGAAAAGAAACAAAUAUGAAUUCCGUGAGUAGCGGCGAGCGAAACCGGAGAAGCCCAAACCUUACGAAAUAUCUUCGGAUAUUACUGUGAGGGGUUGUAAGACAGUAACUUCGUUUUACGAGAAGAGUCAAAAAAUAUAAUUAUAUGUGAAGGUGCUGGAAAGCACGACCAAAGAAGGUGAUAGUCCUGUAACUUAAAUAAUUAUAUCUCUUUCGUUACUGCUCUUGAGUACUCUAAGACACGAAUAGCUUGGAGGAAUCUGCCAGAACUAACUGGCAAGGCUAAAUAUUUUUGAAUACCGAUAGUGAACUAGUACCGUGAGGGAAAGGUGAAAAGUAGUCCGGAAGGACAGUGAAAUAGACCUGAAACCAUAUGCUUACAAGGAGUCAGAGCGGACGCGAUUUAUCGUGUUCCGUCAUGGCGUGCCUAUUGAAGAAUGAGCCAACGAGUUUAUGCAUGCUGCUCGGCUAAGUUGCUACGCAACGGAGCCCCAGGGAAACCAAGUGUUAAUAGCGCGUAAUUGGUAGUAUGCAUAAGACCCGAAGCCAGGUGAGCUACCCAUGUGCAGGUUGAAGUUUGUCGAAAGACAGAUGGAGGACCGAACCGAUAAGCCGUUCAAUACUUUCGGAUGACGCGUGGGUCGGAGUGAAAAGCUAAUCGAACCUGGUAAUAGCUGGUUCUUGCCGAAAUAGCUUUAGGGCUAGCGUUAAGUGUUCCUCUUGGGGGUAGAGCACUGGAAGAUCUCGACAGGGAGCAAUCUCGCGAAAUCUAUCAAACUCCGAAUACCAAGAGUCAUAACUUAGCAGUUAGACAAUGGGGGCUAAGCUCCAUAUGUCAAAAGGGAAACAGCCCAGAUCUCUAAAUAAGGUCCCUAAAUUCACGUUAAGUGCAAAUCAAGGAUGUGAUAUUUCUCUGACAAUGAGGAUGUUGGCUUAGAAGCAGCCAUCAUUUAAAGAAAGCGUAACAGCUCACUCAUCAAGAGAUUUCGCGCCGAAAAUAAUCGGGGCUAAACGUGAUACCGAAUUUGAGGAUUGUAUUUGUCUUCGGACAAGUGCAGUGGUAGGCAAGUGUUCUCAUCCGCAGUGAAGGAGAAGGGGUGACCCACUCUGGAGUGAUGAGAAGUAAGAAUGUUGGCACAAGUAACCGCAAGGAGGGUGAGAUCCCCUCCCGCCGAAAGACUAAGGUUUCCUUGGCUAUGAUAAUCAGCCAAGGGUUAGUCGGGCCUAAGGGAAUGGUGAAAACCGCACCCGAUGGACAUAAGGUUAAUAUUCCUUAACUUCUCACGUAUGCGAUGGAGGGACGGAGUGUAGUAUAUAUCGCUCAUUAAUGGAUUUGAGUUUGUGCUGUGAGUGUGGCUUCCAGGAAAAUCCGGAAGCAGUCGCAAGACACAUGCAAGCAGAGCAUAAAUCUGUGGGUACGCCCAUGGGGAUGAUAUAAAGCACGCUUCCAAGAAAAGCUUCUAAGCUCUAAUAUGUGAGAACCCGUACCGUAAACCGACACAGGUAGUCAGGUCGAGUAGACCAAGGCGAACGAGUGAGAGGUCCCCAAGGAACUCGGCAAAAAAGCAGCCGUAACUUUGGGAUAAGGCUUGCCGCGCACAUCACAUAGAAUGUGAUGGCAAUAAGCUGAAAGCUUAAAGUCAAAAGCUGAAAGGAAAUACAAAAUGCAUUUCUCUUCUUUUAGCUUUAAACUUUUUAACUUUUAGCUUGCACAUCGUGCUCUGCGUGAUGUGCGUGGCCGCAGCGAAAGUAUUCCUGGCAACUGUUUAUCAAAAACACAGCUCCCUGCGAACUCGUAAGAGGAUGUAUAGGGGGUGACACCUGACCAAUGCCAGAAGGUCAAAUAUCGGUGGUGAUUGUCGCAAGACAUGAGCUGGCUGAUAUAAGCCCUGGUGAAUGUCGGCCGUAACUAUAACGGUCCUAAGGUUCACUACAUUUCAUUGAAGUGUAGUGAAGGACUGGGACCGUCAUAGAAAAAGAUAAACAAUUGAUCAAAAGUGUGAUGAAGUUAUACCAAACAAAAAGCUACCUUGUUGUGCAGUAAUGCAUAGCAAGUCCAAAUAUGGCUAUCGAGAGACCAGCGCCAUACAUCCUAAUUUCUUUAUGAAAUGGAUGAAGAUAGAGUCCUUCUUUUAGGUACAGAAGAGCGAAGUACCUUGUCGGGUAAGUUCCGACGCGCACGAAUGGUGUAAUGACUGGGAAACUGUCUCGGGGACCUGCUCGGUGAAAAUACAAUACCGGUGAAGAUGCCGGUUACCUGCAGUUAGACGAAAAGACCCUAGAAGCUUUACUACAUCUUGAUAUUGAGUAUGUUUAUUAAAUGCGUAGCAUAGGUGGGAGAGGUUAUGUGCAUCAUCUCGGUGAUGUAAUACUCGUCAGUGAAAUACCACUCUUUUAAUGGGCAUAUUCUAAUCUCUACGGCAAAAACGGAGAGAGACAGUUUCUGGAAGGUAGUUUUACUGGGGCGGUACCCUCCUAAAGAGUAACGGAGGGGUUUAUUAAGGUCAGCUAGGCGCGAAUGGAAACCGUGCCGAUAGUGUAAGGGCACAAGCUGGCUUGACUGUGAGGGGUACAUCCCAAGCAGGUGCGAAAGCAGAACCUAGUGAACCGACGAUUCGCAUUAGAUGCGGUCGAAGAUUAACGGAUAGAAGCUACUCUAGGGAUAACAGGCUAGUUCCGCCUAAGAGUUCAUAUCGACGGCGGAGUUCGGCACCUCGAUGUCGGCUCACCUUAUCCUGGUGGUGGAGAAGCUACCAAGGGUAUGGCUGUUCGCCAUUUAAAAAGGUACGCGAGCUGGGUUCAAACCGUUCAGGUCGUAGAUCUUAGAACGUGGAACGUAAAACGUUUGAUUCAAAAUGCAAUUGCAUCUUGAUCGACGCUCUGCGCUCUACGAAUAAGGUUCUACGCAUUGGGCAGUUUGAAUCCGUUGAGGGAAGUAUUUGUAAAAAUACUUAUGUUUACAGAGACAAGACCAUGAAUGUACAGUAAGUACAUUUCACGGCGGCAUACAUUAGAAAUAGUGUAUGAGAAGUUGACUUAUAUCGGUGGAACCCGACAAACGCAGAAGUUCGCGGAUUAAACGCGGAAAAUCGCGGAUGGGGCAAUACCGAGGGAACUAUGUCAUUUUAUAAUGACUGUGACCCGUAGAGACUGAAUGUCAAACAUCUUGAAAGAGAUGAAGUUACAGUCCAAUCCUCGUAGUAAUACGAGAAAAACAUACUCAUAUCUCUUCGUCGAUAUAUGAGUAUGGCCCCACGUCGCUUUUUUCAAAAAGCUAUGUGGGGCAAGUAGGUGCGUGAGACAGGUUGGUCUCCUAUCUACUGCAGGCGUUGAUUCUUGAGAAGACUUGCCCCUAGUACGAGAGGACCGGGGUGAACUGACCUCUGGUGUACCUGCUGUUUUGCCAAAAGCAAUGCAGGGUAGCUAUGUCGGGAAUGGAUAACCUCUGAAAGCAUCUAAGAGGGAAGCCACCUUCAAGAUUAGGAAUCGUUUAAGAAGCGUGAGAGAUGAUCACGUCGAUAGGCGCUAGGUGUACGUACAGUAAUGUACUCAGCCGAGGCGUACUAAUGUUUCGAUUCCUAUUAGG
RNAcentral lists this ribosomal RNA (3795 nucleotides) under Minisyncoccota bacterium. RNAcentral's name for it is "23S ribosomal RNA". It matches the Rfam family "Bacterial large subunit ribosomal RNA". The record is from RNAcentral. Lineage: Bacteria; Bacillati; Minisyncoccota.